Molecule: transfer RNA, 87 nt
Filed under: Dialister sp. CAG:588
Lineage: Bacteria; Bacillati; Bacillota; Negativicutes; Veillonellales; Veillonellaceae
Rfam family: tRNA
About the family: Transfer RNA (tRNA) molecules are approximately 80 nucleotides in length.
Source: Rfam by way of RNAcentral
GGAGGGGUGUCCGAGUGGUUGAAGGAGGCGGUCUUGAAAACCGUUAACCUUUCGCGAGGUUCAUGGGUUCGAAUCCCAUUCCCUCCG